UGUGCACUCUAUGUACUCACUACCUGAAACAUGCCGGACACUAUACCGCAGUGUACCAGGGCUUCUUAGCUAAUUAAUGAACGUGUUCUGUAGUUACAGUUAUAUUGUUAUCACAAAAUGCUAGUAUGCUUAUUACACCCCUCGGAACGGAUGGUCCAUCGACCAUAUUACUCCUCUCCCCACGCCUGAAUCUAGCCUUACUCGCCACCCGCGUAUAAUGCUGUCAUAGUCAGGCAUAAUACUUAACACCUCUGUGUGCAUCUCUUCCCACAUGAAGUGGCCUAGUUGAAACGUGCCCUUGCAUAUCUGACCAGCCACACUCACCUAGGCGGUAGUACA
Molecule: non-coding RNA, 339 nt
Organism: Pelobates cultripes (western spadefoot toad)
Lineage: Eukaryota; Metazoa; Chordata; Amphibia; Anura; Pelobatidae
Source: the annotation of a GenBank genome assembly